RNAcentral lists this ribosomal RNA (541 nucleotides) under [Candida] sp. CLIB 1308. RNAcentral describes it as "eukaryotic LSU rRNA". It matches the Rfam family "Eukaryotic large subunit ribosomal RNA", at positions 65 to 611 of the family's 3401-position model. Lineage: Eukaryota; Fungi; Ascomycota; Saccharomycetes; Saccharomycetales. The record is from RNAcentral.
CCAACAGGGAUUGCCUUAGUAACGGCGAGUGAAGCGGCAAGAGCUCAAAUUUGAAAUCUAGCACUUUCAGUGUUCGAGUUGUAAUUUGAAGAAGGUAUCUUUGGAGUUGGCCCCUGUCUAUGUUCCUUGGAACAGGACGUCACAGAGGGUGAGAAUCCCGUGCGAUGGGGAGACCAAUUCUUUGUAAAGUUCCUUCGAAGAGUCGAGUUGUUUGGGAAUGCAGCUCUAAGUGGGUGGUAAAUUCCAUCUAAAGCUAAAUAUUGGCGAGAGACCGAUAGCGAACAAGUACAGUGAUGGAAAGAUGAAAAGAACUUUGAAAAGAGAGUGAAAAAGUACGUGAAAUUGUUGAAAGGGAAGGGCUUUUGAUCAGACUUGGUGUUUAACGAUCUCUUCUCCUUGUGGGAGGGGCUCUUGUUUUAUACUGGGCCAGCAUCGGUUUGGAUGGCAGGAUAAUGACAUUGGAACGUGGCUUCAUUCGUGAAGUGUUAUAGCCUUUGUUGAUACUGCCUAUCUAGACCGAGGACUGCGUCUUUGACUAGGA